This 836-nucleotide ribosomal RNA is filed under the name bacterium GD51SAN75%. Its description in RNAcentral is "partial 16S ribosomal RNA". It matches the Rfam family "Bacterial small subunit ribosomal RNA", at positions 55 to 870 of the family's 1533-position model. The record is from RNAcentral.
AUGCRGUCGAGCGAAUGGAUUGAGAGCUUGCUCUCAAGAAGUUAGCGGCGGACGGGUGAGUAACACGUGGGUAACCUGCCCAUAAGACUGGGAUAACUCCGGGAAACCGGGGCUAAUACCGGAUAAUAUUUUGAACUGCAUGGUUCGAAAUUGAAAGGCGGCUUCGGCUGUCACUUAUGGAUGGACCCGCGUCGCAUUAGCUAGUUGGUGAGGUAACGGCUCACCAAGGCAACGAUGCGUAGCCGACCUGAGAGGGKGNNNNANNNNNACUGGGACUGAGACACGGCCCAGACUCCUACGGGAGGCAGCAGUAGGGAAUCUUCCGCAAUGGACGAAAGUCUGACGGAGCAACGCCGCGUGAGUGAUGAAGGCUUUCGGGUCGUAAAACUCUGUUGUUAGGGAAGAACAAGUGCUAGUUGAAUAAGCUGGCACCUUGACGGUACCUAACCAGAAAGCCACGGCUAACUACGUGCCAGCAGCCGCGGUAAUACGUAGGUGGCAAGCGUUAUCCGGAAUUAUUGGGCGUAAAGCGCGCGCAGGUGGUUUCUUAAGUCUGAUGUGAAAGCCCACGGCUCAACCGUGGAGGGUCAUUGGAAACUGGGAGACUUGAGUGCAGAAGAGGAAAGUGGAAUUCCAUGUGUAGCGGUGAAAUGCGUAGAGAUAUGGAGGAACACCAGUGGCGAAGGCGACUUUCUGGUCUGUWACUGACACUGAGGCGCGAAAGCGKGGGGAGCAAACAGGAUUARAUACCCUGGUAGYCCMCSCCGUAAACGAUGAGUGSUAAGKGUUAGAGGGUUUCCGCCCUUUAGUGCUGAAGUUAACGCAUUAAGCMCUCC